Molecule: small RNA, 513 nt
Filed under: Pongo abelii (Sumatran orangutan)
Lineage: Eukaryota; Metazoa; Chordata; Mammalia; Primates; Hominidae
Description: processed transcript
Source: RNAcentral
GCCACUUAUUCCAUCAAAAUUGAGGGGAAACCAUACACUUUCCUGCUUGAAAAACAGGUCAUUGCUUUUACCAAGGAUAUGCUGCAGACAUUCCAAAAUCAGUUGUGGCACUACGCACCUGUUCUGGACUCAGAGACAGGAUUUCACCAUGUUGGCCAGGCUAGUCUCAAACUUCUGACCUCAGGUUAUCUACCUGCCUCAGCCUCUCAAAGUGCUGGGAUUAGAAACGCCCUGGUGUGUGAUGUUCACCAUUAUUCUGAGCAAACUAUCGCAAGGACAGAAAACUAAACACCACAUGUUCUCACUCAUAGGUGGGAAUUGAACAAUGAGAACACUUGGACAUAGGAUAAAUACACAUUUCUUAUUAACUUAUGAGAUAUUGUAUUGUAUAUUCCUCACACUGUUUUUCUGGUUCUUAGUUGUCUUGGGUAUUUUGGGCCCUUUGAAUUUUAUUGUAAAUUUCUGACUUUUUUUCAAUUGGUACCAAAAAUAGAGUAGACUCAUCUCCUGAAU